RNAcentral lists this ribosomal RNA (401 nucleotides) under uncultured bacterium. RNAcentral's name for it is "partial 16S ribosomal RNA". It matches the Rfam family "Archaeal small subunit ribosomal RNA", at positions 473 to 873 of the family's 1478-position model. The record is from RNAcentral.
ACACCGGCAGCUCUAGUGGUAGCAGUUUUUAUUGGGCCUAAAGCGUCCGUAGCCGGUUUAAUAAGUCUCUGGUGAAAUCCUGUAGCUUAACUGUGGGAAUUGCUGGAGAUACUAUUAGACUUGAGACAGGGAGAGGUUAGAGGUACUCCCAGGGUAGAGGUGAAAUUCUGUAAUCCUGGGAGGACCGCCUGUUGCGAAGGCGUCUAACUGGAACGGUUCUGACGGUGAGGGACGAAAGUUAGGGGCGCGAACCGGAUUAGAUACCCGGGUAGUCCUAACUGUAAACGAUGCGGACUUGGUGUUGGGGUGGCUUUGAGCUGCUCCAGUGCCGAAGGGAAGCUGUUAAGUCCGCCGCCUGGGAAGUACGGUCGCAAGACUGAAACUCAAAUGAAUUGGCGGGG